RNAcentral lists this unclassified non-coding RNA (357 nucleotides) under soil metagenome. RNAcentral describes it as "partial contains 5.8S ribosomal RNA, internal transcribed spacer 2, and large subunit ribosomal RNA". The stretch from base 1 to 120 matches the Rfam family "5.8S ribosomal RNA", at positions 35 to 154 of the family's 154-position model. The record is from RNAcentral.
GAUGAAGAACGUAGCGAAAUGCGAUAAGUAAUGUGAAUUGCAGAAUUCAGUGAAUCAUCGAAUCUUUGAACGCACAUUGCGCCCGCUGGUAUUCCGGCGGGCAUGCCUGUUCGAGCGUCAUUUCAACCCUCAAGCUCUCCGGAGUUUGGUGUUGGGGCGCCUGGGGCUUUUCGACCUCAGGGCCCUCAAGUCCAUCGGCGGGACCGCCAGGACACUGAGCGCAGUAGUAUUAUUUCGCUCGGUAGGAUCUUCCACGGCGGGUCGAUCUAGCCGCUAAACCCCCCAAUUCUCACCAAAGGUUGACCUCGGAUCAGGUAGGAAUACCCGCUGAACUUAAGCAUAUCAAUAAGCGGAGGA